GAGAAACAAUGGUGGUAGGUGGGGGACAUCGAAUUGGUUGAUUUGAGGUACGGGGUGCGCCGUUGAUACACGAAAAGUGGUGUCCAAGAAGGUGGGGUGGAUUUGGUUGAUGUAUGAGGUAAAUUUAUAGAGCGUUUAGAGGGUGGCAGAGGUUAGGCCGAAGAUGACUGCGAUGGUGAUGGACUAGAAUAGCUGGAAUUAUCAAGAUGAGAUAGAGUUGGAAAAGAUAGAGACAUACCUGAGGCAGGAGUGUGUGAAGAUCCCAAAUCUUCUUGUACCACGGAUAAUACACAGGGAAUCUCGGGUGGGGGUGAUUGAAUUGUAGUUGGAGUUUCAUUAGGAGAUGAAGAAUGUUGGGGUAGGGAUUCAGCCGUAUCGAGAGUGGGUUCAAUUUCAUUAAUUUUAUUUUGUGUAGGGUUUAUAAUGGGUUGGGGUAAUUAUGAAAAUAAGGAAAAGUGACAUGUGAGUUUUGGGUUUUCUUUAUUUGUGAC
This 491-nucleotide long non-coding RNA is filed under the name Nicotiana benthamiana. Its description in RNAcentral is "long non-coding RNA (NBEN_LNC032518)". Lineage: Eukaryota; Viridiplantae; Streptophyta; Magnoliopsida; Solanales; Solanaceae. The record is from RNAcentral.